Molecule: long non-coding RNA, 4710 nt
Organism: Coffea arabica (coffee)
Lineage: Eukaryota; Viridiplantae; Streptophyta; Magnoliopsida; Gentianales; Rubiaceae
Source: RefSeq, a predicted model, not a curated record
GUCCAUGAGGAAUAUGUAUGGGCAUGCCUUCACUUCUUCGCACUCCUCUUCCUUUACUCUCAACUCUCUUCCCUCUCCCUCUUAAUUUAUUGCUUAUAUCAACGACAUCCCUUUGGGAAUUCAGAGUCUUUAUCUGUAUGAGAUCUAAGAACUGCAGACUUUGAUCAUGAAUUUUGCAAGUCCUGUCAUGCUUUUCCACAGCUUUCUUGAACUUCAGCCUGAAUUUGAUCCAUCCAUCCAUCCACCCAUCUCUCCCUCUUUGUCUUCUGGGAUUUUUUUCAUCAAGCAAUGAAGUUCAAGGAAGCUGUGGGAAGACAUGGCCACUCAGGACUUCACCCCAAUUGUGCACAGAAUUGCCUGCCUGCACCUGCAGGAUGCAGCACAGCUGGUUUUGGUUGUUUCAGAUAUUAUCUCUGCAGGCUGCAGGCCGCGCGCUACCGUUGACGAUGAACCCGGCAAAUCCACCAAAUUCUGCUCCACGAUUGGCGUGAAUUCUUCCUUCUCGGUUUAGGUAAACGUCCCUUGUCUUAAAAUAGUUAGAAUUGCUCGUUAUAUGCAUAUUUCAAAGUUCAUGCCACAAUUGGAGGAAUAUUAGACGAAAGUCAAGACCACCCAGUUUCCAUGACUUCUUACCCUUUCUUUUCUUUCUUUUUUUUUUUUUUACCGCUGUUACAAAACCCUGCAUGGCCGUGUAAAACUUCUCCCGUGAAACUCUGAUCACUUUUUUUUUUCUUGAAUUGCCUGUUAAUGCGGCGCAAUGUUUUGUUUGAUUUCUCAUUAUUAUUUCAAGAGGUAGUUUAGUUAUCUAUGCUAGCAAGUUUAAGUUACAAAAGUAUAAUCGAAGUGGUGAAAACUGAAAGAUGUUGCAGAGAAGAUUCCCUGCCUUUCCUCUUUUUCUCAUCAAUAAUUGGUAGUUCAUCUUGUUUGCCCUUUGUUUUCUUGCUUCCCCAUCAUCUCAUGCGUUUCCGUGAAAAAAGGUUAAACUUUGUCAUUUUCUGAAAAUUAAAAAAAUUUUUUUUUACCACCCUCAACUCUCUCUCUCUCUCUCUACACACACUCACACUCACACUCACACUCACACAGUAGUAGUUCAGUACAUGCACACGCAGAGACACAUAUGGAUUCUCGCCUUCCUUUGAUUAAUACCCUACGACUCGUCGACUACUACUUUACUACAUUAAACAGACCCCUCAAACUUGUGCAAUCUUCGAAGUUAAAAUAUGUCAGUACUAUAGUGUUCACUAAUGCUUGGUGGUUGAGCUGAUAUAGUGCAUCAGUAAUAGUUAUUAGGAGUUUUCAAUGCAUUUUUUUCAGAGUGGCAGCAUAUCUUUCUGGGAUUAUAUCAAAUUCCCGUCUAUGUUGCAACUAGCCCAAUUACGGAUAUGAUCUCAUCAUCUAGGGAACUCUCUCCUUUUUUUUUUUUUUUUGGCCUAAAAUUGUCUGAAACAAUCUUCAAGCCGCAAUUUGCGCGGCUCAUCCUUCUCAUCUCAUCAGUGCACCAUUAUUAGUCCCUAGAUUUUUAAGCUCCAUCAGAGUCUGGUUCUUCUUGGAAAUUGUUGAAGUUUUGCAUUAACCACGAUCAACAACGAUGGGAGUAGGAAUUAAAAGUAAGAGAACAGAAAUUAAAAAAAGGUGCGUAAAGACAUGCUACUGCUCAGAAGUGAGAAUUUAAGGAUGCGAUUAGACCUGUCACGGGUAGCUGAAAUAUCUAGAUGCGGUUUGGCAAGCAAAGCAGCAGUUUUGAUUGGUGGUUGAUGGGUAGGGCUGUUAAGAUUACUUAAAAUAGACCAGACAUUGGGGCAUGGCUGUCCUGUACCAAGUCUAAAAUAGAUUUGACAUUCAUAAAACCCAUGAAUGCCGUGGAGGUAGAGUUGCCUGCUCCCCUACCAUUUUUAAGAUUUGUCUGGCUGAAGAUGCCAGGAGCUGUGACUCGAGUGUUUGCGUUGAGGGAGUCAGGUUAUCACUAGUACUGAUUUGGUGUUGCAGUACUAGGGGAGUGGGCAAGAGUUUACUGGGAGAAGCAAAGUCAUCAGAUGAUCAGUCCUGAGGAGCUAAUGAAAAUUAGCCAGCAUCUCUGCCUUGGGCUAGUUUUUUUUUAUUACAUAUAUAGUUUUUUUCCUUCCUCAAGUCAGUCAGACCAAUCACUUUUCAGAUUCUAUUUCCAGUUAUUGGUUUGGUUGAAAUGCCAGAGUGACGAGCAAUUCAUAAUCAAGUACGUCUAUAAUUAAUGUCAUUUUCUAGUUAAUUUUUUAUUUUAAUCAGUUUGAGUUAAUUUACCCUGUGAACCUGGCUCCGGCCCAAGGACCAAUUCCCAGUUCGCAUAGCACAUAACCAACCACCUUGUUGGGAAACUAGAAAGGUCCGUCUGCAAGUUUGCUAGCUUAAGGCUUCAUCUUCCCAUCUAUAAAGAAAAAUCCAAACCACAUUAACUCGCAAUACUCUCGCAUUACGAAGCGUAUAGGGCAUAGAUAGCAGGAUAUCAACGUCUUAUGUCGUGAAUUGGGGACUGGAGUGUUGUAGGUCCUUCUUCUGAAAGUCCAUUAAAUCACGGAUGAAUGAUACAAAUCAGAACUCAUGUCCUACAUAGCAACAAAUUAGAUUCAUUGUCCAUUCCCUUCAAUCUAUCAUAUAUGCCAUAGGUUUCAGUGAUUUUCGUAGAACUAUGUGCGAACUCAAGGAAGAUCAUCUUAAUUCUUGAUUAGACUUUUUGAGCUAAUCUACGAAGCCCUUCCCUAACUACUAGGUAUGAUGUGAUGCAACCCCAUGGAAGGCCGAUUAAGUUAGGGGAGAUGCACAAGAGCGAAUAGCUGCAUAUUCCUAUUUCCUUACACACAUGGCGCAUCUCUAACUUUUGCCAUGCGUAUUAACAAUGAGGCCCAAGAUUAUACCUUUCUUUAAGGAACUUAAUUUACUUGCAAAGUAAGUUCCCAAGGAGGAGACAUUGUGAUACCUUCCAUGAAUGACUGACAAGGCGAUACGAAGGUAGCUGUCUUAUGAAGCCAUUGGACUGUGGUUUCUACUGUUUUGAUUGGUAACAACUAACAAAAACACUGCUCGGAGUGAGUUUUUCACAAUCAUAUCAAGAGAAACUCGAUCAAAACGGACCAAAACUGCAUAGGUCAAAGCCUAAAGGAUCAAACUAUAACAUAGAACUUUAAAACCAUUCUUCACUUGUAACCAAAACUAAUUAGCAAGUUUACUCUAAAAGCUAGUUGCUCAGACUAGUUAGUUCACCAAUAGUGGCUUAGAAAGUACUCAAAGCAAGGACCUGAGAGCGGGGAAGGACUGGUUCUGUACAACUAAAACGUAGUAUAGCCGUAGCAUGUGUAUGUCCAUUUUCAUGAAGAACGUCUUGAAAAUGGUUUCAAUAUGAGAGGAAGAUUCUAUGAUAUAACUUGUUUGCAAAUUUAAAUUAAGAACAUGAAUCAAAAUCAUAUACCUUUCCAGAGAGCAGAGACUUACAAUGCCGCUUUCUCUGAAAAACUUGGCCAACAUCAGAGUUUCUUAUUAGACCAUGUAGACCAUCCUUUCUAGGUGCCAACUAGAAUGAGAAGGUAGUCUGCAUCUAAAUGGUUAAGUGGUUGUUUGGUUACAAUUUGCUGACGAAGUUUCGAGCUUUAUUCAGGCAAACGGCUUUCAAAGCCAAUCAAGAGAUUACGUUUUAAGGGUGCCAUAGAAUCCUCAUUGGCUUAUCUAUUUCAGGUCGAAGUUUUAUUACCGAUCGAUUGGCUUUUUUUGCAACAAAUCUAAAAGUGUAUGUCCCACAUUCCCCAUGGCAUACAAAAUCCAGCUACGAAUCCACAUCAAUGAUGUAAUGCUUUAAUAAAUUCAAUCACUUGGUGCAAGGAGCUAUGGCAUAAGUCUGUCCUUAUGCCCCAUUAUCGACGGACAGAAAUGGCAAGUUAACUCCAGCCAUCUAGACUACUGGUCAUCAAAUGUUGUUCUUUGUUUGGCACAGGUGUUGAAUCGAAAGCACGAAUGGAUAAUGAGCGUUGUUGAAUCUCCAUCAAAUGCUAAUUAUAAAAACCUACCGUGCAGUUUCUGUAACAUCAGGCGCAGCAUAUUUUAGACUUGUGGACACUUUUUUCCCCUAACCGUGAUCUUCGGAUGCUGGAAAUGAUUUCUCUAAAAUGUCCUAAUGUCAACAGACUUGUUUUUUGUAUUCCGCAUAUAGGGGAGUAGCAACAUUUUCAAGAAGAUGGAAAAGAAAGAUUCACGUUUGGCCUGAUUUCUCUUUCUGUUUCUCUCGUCUUGUUUGUCAGUCCAUGCAUGUAGUUUUGUUUCUCAAUGCUUCUCUCUCUCUCUCUCUCUCUCUCUCUCUCUGAUGAUGCUCAGUCUCGAUCGGCUUGUGUUACUUUAACAUUAUUGUGUUUAUGAGGCUAAUGGAGUUCAUCGUAGUUUUGCAUUAAUAAAUCCAGCAGCAUAACUAAGCACAAUAAGGGCAUUAAUUAGCCUUCAGCAGAAAUUGAUGGCGGCCCUGAAUUGGCUGCUUUCUUGGGACAAUAUGACUUGGGGUUGCGACAUAUUUCUGCUCCUCCUAACAGUGCUUUACAUUAAUAUAUACUGUAUUGGCUACCUCAGAGUUAAUAAGACCGUGGCGUGGAUCGUGCACGGUCGCAUUAUUGGUGAAUCAUUUAUAGUUCAUCUAAUCUGAUGAGCUGUAUGUAUGAAGAAGUUGGAAAUUAAUGUAUUACCAAACAAUUCUACAAA